CCCCGGCCCGGGAACUCACCCUCGAGUCCAAGGCGUGGAACGAUCCCCGGUCCCGGUGGAGGCGACGCGCGACUGGUGGCGGCGCUGUAGCGGCUGUCGCGGCGACGGACACGACGACUCGUCGCUUUCCCCGCGGCAUCCAUCAGUUCUGUCCACCUUCUCGACACGGGCUUCGCCUGUUGUUGGUUCGCAAUCAGGGCUUGGCACCUCGCGAGGCCGCCGCAUGUGCCUCCGCCGCGGCGUGUGCCCGUCAUCACCUCGCGCCAAGCCCCUAGCUACCCCGUGCCCUCUCUGAAUUUUUUUUUCCAUGUGCGCUUGUUUCACCAGAUAUGGUAUUGUUUGUUUGUUCCCAGAGGCUAGAAGUACUGAACUAGUGAUGCACUGAUGCUUGUCUUUACUCACCCUGCUCUUUGCUUCCCAUUAAUGACUACCCAUAAUUUUAGCGUAUAUGGAAAAUUCAGAGUGAAUUACAUGGUACAACUGUGGUCUGCAUGCCAGGGACUCACGCAGCAUUUGAUCCAUAGUUUCAGCAAUGUUUGAGUGCUAAUUGUCGGUUAGUUGCUCUUUUUGGAUUUAACCAUGCGCUCUGAAUGUUUCAGAAAUGGUUAACAGUUUGGCGGGAUCACUGGUGAGGCGGCAAAAUCCCCAUCGACAGGAAGAUGAUCAAGCUGUACUGCCCUUUCAUCGCAUCCUUGCAUUGCAUCUGUGAUCUGUCAUAGCAGGAGUAGCAGGAAUCCUUGCUAGCUUUUAGCACACGGUUAAGCCUAUUCCUCUUCCAGCUCAGCUGUUCUCUGCCUGAGCCCUGUACAGUAAUCGAAAUAAUGGAGAGGAGAAUUUUUUAGCAUAUAUGUCUUGAAGCUGCAUACAUACAAAUAAGGUACAAGGAUGUAGCAACAAAAUAGAAUGUCUAAAAUCUAAUGAGCCGCAUAGAUACAGUUACAACAUUCUCCAAGACCUUUGUUGUCUCCUGGGCUCUUCUUUUCUUUUCAGGCUCGAGCACCACAAAUAGAAGUUUAGUUCAACUACAGCCAAAAGUGCCAAACAACAUCCGAGUCUCCGCGGGACUGCAACUUUGUGUACGCUGUUCCGUCUUUGUGUCAGAUUCCAACUUUGCGGGCACUGGCCUAGACUGCAGCUUCAGUGCUGCACUGCACAAACAAGAUUUUUAGAAGCAGAAGAAUAAAAAAAAGAAUAAAAAAAGAAACAGAGUCAUGUGUUUUCAAGAAGGAGAAAGAAACAGAGUCAUGGCAUCGGCUGAGUUGGGUUCAAAAAGUUCAGAGAGCUACUGGUGUUAAACCAUGGGUUCAGAUGCAGUUUAAGCACGGUGCACCUUCAUAUUGGUAGGCUUGUGUCAUUGUGUGCACAUGUAUGCAGAGAAAGAAAUCAAUUUACUUUCUAUUGUUGUAUCAUUACAUAUAGUGAUAUCUUGCAAGUUACUUAACUGUUCAUGAUCCUACUUGAAAUGACGACAGUUGAAAUACAUAGGUCCUGCUGUAUUUAUUCAGAUAUUCAGAUUUUUGUAAAGUGAUAUAAAGAAAUGAACUAAACUUGGGUGUUUUA
Molecule: long non-coding RNA, 1560 nt
Organism: Setaria italica (foxtail millet)
Lineage: Eukaryota; Viridiplantae; Streptophyta; Magnoliopsida; Poales; Poaceae
Exons: 2
Source: RefSeq, a predicted model, not a curated record